GACGAACGCUGGCGGCGUGCUUAACACAUGCAAGUCGAACGGAAAGGCCCUGCUUUUGUGGGGUGCUCGAGUGGCGAACGGGUGAGUAACACGUAAGUAACCUGCCCUUGACUUUGGGAUAACUUCAGGAAACUGGGGCUAAUACCGGAUAGGAGCUCCUGCUGCAUGGUGGGGGUUGGAAAGUUUCGGCGGUUGGGGAUGGACUCGCGGCUUAUCAGCUUGUUGGUGGGGUAGUGGCUUACCAAGGCUUUGACGGGUAGCCGGCCUGAGAGGGUGACCGGCCACAUUGGGACUGAGAUACGGCCCAGACUCCUACGGGAGGCAGCAGUGGGGAGUAUUGCACAAUGGGCGGAAGCCUGAGGCAGCAACGCCGCGUGCGGGAUGACGGCCUUCGGGUUGUAAACCGCUUUCGCCUGUGACGAAGCGUGAGUGACGGUAAUGGGUAAAGAAGCACCGGCUAACUACGUG
This 468-nucleotide ribosomal RNA is filed under the name uncultured bacterium. RNAcentral's name for it is "partial 16S ribosomal RNA". It matches the Rfam family "Bacterial small subunit ribosomal RNA", at positions 28 to 507 of the family's 1533-position model. The record is from RNAcentral.